GACGAACGCUGGCGGCGUGCUUAACACAUGCAAGUCGAACGGAAAGGCCCUGCUUUUGUGGGGUGCUCGAGUGGCGAACGGGUGAGUAACACGUGAGUAACCUGCCCUUGACUUUGGGAUAACUUCAGGAAACUGGGGCUAAUACCGGAUAGGAGCUCCUGCUGCAUGGUGGGGGUUGGAAAGUUUCGGCGGUUGGGGAUGGACUCGCGGCUUAUCAGCUUGUUGGUGGGGUAGUGGCUUACCAAGGCUUUGAAGGGUAGCCGGCCUGAGAGGGUGACCGGCCACAUUGGGACUGAGAUACGGCCCAGACUCCUACGGGAGGCAGCAGUGGGGAAUAGUGCACAAUGGGCGGAAGCCUGAUGCAGCAACGCCGCGUGCGGGAUGACGGCCUUCGGGUUGUAAACCGCUUUCGCCUGUGACGAAGCGUGAGUGACGGUAAUGGGUAAAGAAGCACCGGCUAACUACGUG
RNAcentral lists this ribosomal RNA (468 nucleotides) under uncultured bacterium. RNAcentral describes it as "partial 16S ribosomal RNA". It matches the Rfam family "Bacterial small subunit ribosomal RNA", at positions 28 to 507 of the family's 1533-position model. The record is from RNAcentral.